RNAcentral lists this non-coding RNA (138 nucleotides) under uncultured Commensalibacter sp. RNAcentral describes it as "FMN riboswitch (RFN element)". It matches the Rfam family "FMN riboswitch aptamer (RFN element)". From Rfam's summary of the family: The RFN element is a highly conserved domain that is found frequently in the 5'-untranslated regions of prokaryotic mRNAs that encode for flavin mononucleotide (FMN) biosynthesis and transport proteins. This element is a metabolite-dependent riboswitch that directly binds FMN in the absence of proteins. Lineage: Bacteria; Pseudomonadati; Pseudomonadota; Alphaproteobacteria; Acetobacterales; Acetobacteraceae. The record is from RNAcentral.
GUUCUUGGGGCGGGGUGUAAUUCCCCACCGGCGGUGUUGGAAUAAGUCCUCAGCCCGCGAGCGCCCGUUAUAUUUUACGGGGUCAGCAGAUUCGGUGAUAUUCCGAAGCCGACGGUUAAAGUCCGGAUGAUAAAGAGC